CGAUCUGAAAUCACCAGCCUGGCAAUGUUUUUGCAUAUCCAAAAACCAUUUGAUAUCCAAGUCUUUGAUAAUGUAAAAAAGUAGCUGUGUUUCUCUUA
Molecule: long non-coding RNA, 98 nt
Organism: Etheostoma cragini (Arkansas darter)
Lineage: Eukaryota; Metazoa; Chordata; Actinopteri; Perciformes; Percidae
Exons: 3
Source: RefSeq, a predicted model, not a curated record